UACGUAGGGUGCAAGCGCUGUCCGGAAUUAUUGGGCGUAAAGAGCUCGUAGGUGGCCUGUCGCGUCGGCUGUGAAAACUCGGGGCUCAACUCCGAGCUUGCAGUCGAUACGGGCAGGCUAGAGUUCGGCAGGGGAGACUGGAAUUCCUGGUGUAGCGGUGAAAUGCGCAGAUAUCAGGAGGAACACCGGUGGCGAAGGCGGGUCUCUGGGCCGAUACUGACACUGAGGAGCGAAAGCGUGGGGAGCGAACAGG
This 253-nucleotide ribosomal RNA is filed under the name uncultured bacterium. RNAcentral's name for it is "partial 16S ribosomal RNA". It matches the Rfam family "Bacterial small subunit ribosomal RNA", at positions 524 to 776 of the family's 1533-position model. The record is from RNAcentral.